Long non-coding RNA from Bos taurus (domestic cattle), 2241 nucleotides. NCBI's taxonomy places the organism in Eukaryota, Metazoa, Chordata, Mammalia, Artiodactyla, Bovidae. The record is from Ensembl.
CGACAUUUUUCCAAGUCAAUACCUAUGGAUCUAACUCAUUUAAACAACAGCAAUAAACCAAAAAGCAAAGUGAUAGUCUUGUGUUAUGUGAAUGCACUGAAAAUUUACUUAACUGGUCCCUUGCCGUGUUUUCUACAUUCUGUUAUUAUGUAAUGCUGAUACCAACGUUCUUAAUAUAUAUGUAGUCGCACAAACGUUCUCACACACCCGUUUCUUGUCACCUGCCUUUGCUUGGUAAAGACUAAAAGACCAAUUACAUAGUCAAGUUUUCAGUCGUUUCCUUUAUGGCUUCUGAGCCUUGUAUUUUUAUACUUGAGUAACAUCUCAACUCUGAAAUGACAGAAUAAGAUGUCUUCCGUGCUUGCUUGCUUUCUGUUUUACUUUCACUGUUCCAGCUCACAGUUCACACAGCCCAGCCCCCUGCAGAAUCUCCCUUGCUCAGGUUGGCCUGCGGCCCUGCAGUCUCGCGGGGAGGGCCUCUCCGCCGCAGCCUUCCGCUCUCCGCCCGCCCUCGUCUGCCGCCUGGGCCGCUCCGCGAAGCCGCGUCGCGCUGUCCCGAGCGGGGAGCCCCCUCCGAGGCAGAGGCCCCGGGCGAGCUCGGGCGUUAGGGCGUUCGGCGCCGCUGCGGCCUGCCGGCAACUCGUCCUGAGGACACUCGAACCGGUUGUCGGGCGCCCCUGGCGGCCGCUUUCAGAGCGUUCCUUUCCUUCGGCGACCUUCAUAAGGGCUGAGACUCAGCCGGAGAAGACGGCGCAGAGCUCCAGAGGCCGGCAGCACUGGUGGCAAUAACCAUGGUGCUGCGGAGACCUGGGCAUGCCUGCUCCUGCUGAAGACUGGGUCUGCAGGUUUUCGUGAAGCGGCCUGGCGCUGUGGCCUUUGAGGGCGGGUUGUCGCUCGCUCUGGUCGACCAGCAUCUCCUCGCGGCCUUACAUCCGCGGGGCCUCGGAGCGAGCAGAGAAAGGGUCUGCGGCGCCGGAGUGCCUGUGGCUCGUCGGCCAAACUCCUGGGUCACCGUUAGGGGCCUUCGUCUCCCUCCGGGGUCCCCACUCUCCAGGCUCUGGUGCUUGGCCAGACCGGACGAGUAUGGGCUCGCAGGGCUCGUUGGCUGGCGCGCCUGGGCCCCGUCUCCGGGCCUGGACGCGUCCUGCUCCCUCGAACGGUCAGGCUUGCGUGGCGAGCACGGGCCGUGUCUUUAGAAGCUAGUCGGCGAUCCGGACGUUUCCUCCGCCCGCGGGGCUGCAUGGGGUACGGCUCGCAGCCAGGAGAGUAAAGUGCCCCGCGCGGUGUCCUGGAUCAGUAUUUUUUGUUUUCCCGCCUCGGCUGGGAGUAGCCGUGUCUCCGUCGGCGGACGGCGCAGGGUUCACGCCGGCCGUCCCUGGAUCCCGGGCGUCUUCCCCGGAGUGGAGCGUGGCCGGACACGCGGAACAAGGCGGCGCUGGGCUGCGCGCCCGGCCCUCCCAGCGGCACCGCGAUCCCCAGGCUAGGCUCUCCCAACCCCACGUCCUGAUCGCCUGGGGGCCCAGGUCCGCACCAGGGCUGGGCGGCGGGGGAGCUGCUCUCCGACGGCCGCUGUCGUAUCAAGCUCUGCGUUCGUCGGAAGCCGUGCUGCGUCAUCGCGGGGGCCGCCUGUAGUCUCUUCUGUUCCCCUUACGGGCUCGAAAGUUGUGUGAGCCACACACGAGUCCCUCGCCACGGGUGACAACAGGGAACGCGGUGGGCGAGCAAGGAGGUGGCCCAAUGCGCGGCUUUAGUCCUGCACGGGAUCGGUGGUCAGAGGCGCCAAAUGUUUGAGAUCCAGAAAACGGCCCGGGCCCUCCACUGAGGGUACCAAGGAGACGCGAGCCUGGCGCGGUGUGUAGUCCUGGAAGGGCGUCUGAACGCGCGCGGACGGGAGAACACUUAGAGUACAUCGUGAGAAACACUGGGUUGGAUGAAGCACAAGCUGGAAUCAAGAUUGCCAGAAGAAAUAUCAAUAACCUCAGAUAUACAGAUGACACCACCCUUAAGGCAGAAAGGGAAGAACUAAAGAGCCUCUUGAUGAAAGUGAAAAAGGAGAGUGUAAGAUCUACCUUAAAGCUCAACAUUCAGAAAACUAAGAUCAUGGCAUCUGGCCUCAUCACUUCAUGGCAAAUAGAUGGGAAAACAGUGGAAACAGUGGCAGACUUUAUUUUGGGGGGCUUGGAAAUCACUGCAGAUGGUGACUGCAGCCAUGAAAUUAAAAGAGGCUUGCUACAGCUGCUG